RNAcentral lists this ribosomal RNA (117 nucleotides) under Periophthalmus magnuspinnatus. Lineage: Eukaryota; Metazoa; Chordata; Actinopteri; Gobiiformes; Gobiidae. The record is from RNAcentral.
AUUCGGAGCCAAACCUCUUGUCAAAACCUGUCCUUGUCAGAUCUCAGAAGCUAAACAAAGCCGGGUCUGGUUACUAAUUGGAUGGGAGACUGCUGGGAAUACAGAGAGGUGGAAGUG